This 236-nucleotide long non-coding RNA is filed under the name Gossypium barbadense (sea-island cotton). RNAcentral's name for it is "long non-coding RNA (GBAR_LNC014430)". The record is from RNAcentral. Lineage: Eukaryota; Viridiplantae; Streptophyta; Magnoliopsida; Malvales; Malvaceae.
CGCUGAAGUAAUUUAUUAGCCUUUAUUGCCGAAAUAAUACGUGCCGGCCCAUUAGUACGGAUACCAUUUACCUCAAUUCUGUCCCCGUCUUCUGUCUGAAUACUAAACUUCUUUUUAUAACAAUCCAAUACCACUCCGUGCUCAGCCAACCAAUCCAUCCCCAGUAUUAUAUCAAAAUCUCCAAAUGGCAUAAUCAACAGGUCAAUAGGAAAAGUUUUAUUUUGUAUAAUUAACGG